Long non-coding RNA from Triticum aestivum (bread wheat), 661 nucleotides. RefSeq lists it as uncharacterized. The record is from RefSeq and is a predicted model, not a curated record. The transcript has 2 exons. Lineage: Eukaryota; Viridiplantae; Streptophyta; Magnoliopsida; Poales; Poaceae.
CACCCUCGUUCCCUCACGGCCUCACGGCCUCACCCACCCUCGCGCACGCACACGCAGAGCAGAGUGGACGGAGGGAGGCGGAGAACAAAGGAUGGCGGCGGCGCUCUAGGUCAGACUUCCGCGCGCAUCCAUCUGCUCCGUCGCUCCCCGCAGGCUUCCGCCCUCCGUCGCUGACCUCCGACCUCCGCCCUCUUCCCUCCCUCGCGCCGUUGAGCGCACCGGCGCACGCCUCCGUGGAGCAAGACAGAAGCCGCCGCCGACGCACAAGGGUGUUCGAAAGUGCCAACCUUGGUGCUGGUCAAGCUUACUUACCUGAAACAAAUCCUGAUGUUACUCCUGACCGUGUUAGCAAGAAAAAGAACAAAAGUUCAAAGGCAUGGACACACUUCACAGUUCAGAAUGAUGAUUCGAAUCAUGCUAACUGAACAAGUUUUUAUUCCAGAAUUUGUGUUGAGCAGUUCUGCUUGUGCUUGUAUUGGACAAGUUUUUGUUCCAGAAUUUCUUCAUGUGGUUUGACUAGACAUGUACUAAAUUAGUGCUUGUAGUUGUACUUGUAGUCUUCUACUAGAUUGUUGUACUGGAACAUAAAUUCCUAAUGUUUCAGAAUUUCUUCAAGUAGGUAACGAGGUUGUAUUGGACAAGUACUAAAUUUGUUUUUCCA